AAAAGACUUAGUCCUAACCUUGCCAUUAGUUUUCCUGCUCAACAUAUACAUGCAAGUAUCCGCACUCCAGUGCAAACACCCCAAACCUCUUAUCAAGACCAAAGGAGUAGGCAUCAGGCACGCCCACACACCGCAGCCCAAAACGCCUCGUCCAGCCACACCCCCACGGGUACUCAGCAGUAGUUAACAUUAAGCCAUAGGCGAAAGCCUGACUUAGUUAGAGCAACCAGGGUUGGUAAACCUUGUGCCAGCCACCGCGGCCAUACAAGGAACCCAAACUAACCGCACACGGCGUAAAGAGUGGCCCCCGAUUAUCACAGCCAACUAAGACUAAACUACAACCUAAGCCGUCACAAGCCCAAGAUGCCCUGAAACCCCACCUAAAAACAAUCUUAGCACCUGCGACCUAUCUACCCCACGAAAGCCUGGGCACAAACUGGGAUUAGAUACCCCACUAUGCCUGGCCCUAAAUCUUGAUGCUUUCCAUACAAAAACAUCCGCCCGAGAACUACGAGCACAAACGCUUAAAACUCUAAGGACUUGGCGGUGCCCUAAACCCACCUAGAGGAGCCUGUUCUAUAAUCGACAAUCCACGAUACACCCGACCACUCCUUGCCAAAACAGCCUACAUACCGCCGUCAUCAGCCCACCUUUAUGAAAGCACAAUAGUGAGCCCAACAGUCCACCCACUAACAAGACAGGUCAAGGUAUAGCCUAUGGAGUGGAAGAAAUGGGCUACAUUUUCUAAAAUAGACAAAUCCAACGAAAGGAGGCCUGAAAUCUGCCCCAGAAGGCGGAUUUAGCAGUAAAGAGGGACAAUAGAGCCCUCUUUAAGCUGGCCCUAGGGCACGUACACACCGCCCGUCACCCUCCUCACAAGCUACCCCAACACUAACUAAAACACCAAGCAGCUGAAGAUGAGGUAAGUCGUAACAAGGUAAGUGUACCGGAAGGUGUACUUAGCAUAU
This 968-nucleotide non-coding RNA is filed under the name Zanda baudinii. RNAcentral describes it as "Calyptorhynchus baudinii 12S ribosomal RNA". It matches the Rfam family "Bacterial small subunit ribosomal RNA". Lineage: Eukaryota; Metazoa; Chordata; Aves; Psittaciformes; Cacatuidae. The record is from RNAcentral.